Molecule: small RNA, 624 nt
Filed under: Malus domestica (apple)
Lineage: Eukaryota; Viridiplantae; Streptophyta; Magnoliopsida; Rosales; Rosaceae
Description: sRNA MD13G0113400
Source: RNAcentral
UUUGAAGCAACGGGAAAAUAACCAACCCUCCACGAUAGAUGGGAGUUGGCUGUCAUUGCUUUUAUAAGUGCAAGAGUUCCCUGCUCACAGAGAAAUACGUUCUGCAAUUAGGGUUCUAUUACCAUUGGAAUAUAAGGUCUUGAGUGAGUAGAAGAAUUCUUGAGCGUAUUAACAGUAACCAUGGCUGCACUAGGAUGCAUGGAGUGAUUCAAUUUCUAAGGUUUUUACUCUUGUUGACGAUGAAACCAAGCGAAGAUCGCAAAGCCUUAGGAAGAUCUUACUGGCCUCGGUCUUGGCCAUGGUGGCAGAGACGACAUUUCUGGUAGACGUAACGAAGACGAUGCUCCAACUGAACGGCGAGUCGUUGUCUUCUGGGUCAAUCCAUCAUUCCUGACAUUGGGAGAGAUCGUGCGAGAGCAAGGUCCGCUGGUAUUGUACAAUGGCUUGUUGCUCAGAAAGAUGAAGGUUUACUCAAAAGGAAUAACCAAUUUCCUAUUUACAUGCGUUGUGGUUCAAAAACCCAUGAAAUGUUCACAUUCUUUUCCAAAGAGGAGAAUGUAUAAGUUGUUAGGUGUUUUUAAUCAGUGUAUAGUAUCAUAUUGAUCAGGCUACAUUCUUGUCCAA